GCAACGCCGCGUGAGGGACGACGGCCUUCGGGUUGUAAACCUCUUUUAGCAGGGAAGAAGCGAAAGUGACGGUACCUGCGGAAAAAGCACCGGCUAACUACGUGCCAGCAGCCGCGGUAAUACGUAGGGUGCAAGCGUUGUCCGGAAUUAUUGGGCGUAAAGAGCUCGUAGGCGGUUUGUCGCGUCUGCUGUGAAAUCCCGAGGCUCAACCUCGGGCCUGCAGUGGGUACGGGCAGACUAGAGUGCGGUAGGGGAGAUUGGAAUUCCUGGUGUAGCGGUGGAAUGCGCAGAUAUCAGGAGGAACACCGAUGGCGAAGGCAGAUCUCUGGGCCGUAACUGACGCUGAGGAGCGAAAGCGUGGGGAGCGAACAGGAUUAGAUACCCUGGUAGUCCACGCCGUAAACGUUGGGAACUAGAUGUGGGGACCAUUCCACGGUCUCCGUGUCGCAGCUAACGCAUUAAGUUCCCCGCCUGGGGAGUACGGCCGCAAGGCUAAAACUCAAAGGAAUUGACGGGGGCCCGCACAAGCGGCGGAGCAUGCGGAUUAAUUCGAUGCAACGCGAAGAACCUUACCAAGGCUUGACAUAUACUAGAACGGGCCAUAAAUGGUCAACUCUUUGGAC
This 623-nucleotide ribosomal RNA is filed under the name Microbacteriaceae bacterium So3Pw_2970. RNAcentral's name for it is "bacterial SSU rRNA". It matches the Rfam family "Bacterial small subunit ribosomal RNA", at positions 391 to 1027 of the family's 1533-position model. The record is from RNAcentral. Lineage: Bacteria; Bacillati; Actinomycetota; Actinomycetes; Micrococcales; Microbacteriaceae.